GACGAACGCUGGCGGCGUGCUUAACACAUGCAAGUCGAACGGAAAGGCCCUGCUUUUGUGGGGUGCUAGAGUGGCGAACGGGUGAGUAACACGUGAGUAACCUGCCCUUGACUUUGGGAAAACUUCAGGAAAAUGGGGCUAAUACCGGAUAGGAGCUCCUGCUGCAUGGUGGGGGUUGGAAAGUUUCGGCGGUUGGGGAUGGACUCGCGGCUUAUCAGCUUGUUGGUGGGGUAGUGGCUUACCAAGGCUUUGACGGGUAGCCGGCCUGAGAGGGUGACCGGCCACAUUGGGACUGAGAUAGGGCCCGGACUCCUACGGGAGGCAGCAGUGGGAGAUAUUGCACAAUGGGCGGAAGCCGGAUGCAGCAACGCCGCGUGCGGGAUGACGGCCUUCGGAUUGUAAACCGCUUUCGCCUGUGACGAAGCGUGAGUGACGGUAAUGGGUAAAGAAGCACCGGCUAACUACGUG
Molecule: ribosomal RNA, 468 nt
Filed under: uncultured bacterium
Lineage: Bacteria
Description: partial 16S ribosomal RNA
Rfam family: Bacterial small subunit ribosomal RNA
Source: RNAcentral